Molecule: ribosomal RNA, 497 nt
Filed under: uncultured bacterium
Lineage: Bacteria
Description: partial 16S ribosomal RNA
Rfam family: Bacterial small subunit ribosomal RNA
Source: RNAcentral
GAUGAACGCUGGCGGCGUGCCUAAUACAUGCAAGUCGAGCGAACAGACGAGGAGCUUGCUCCUCUGACGUUAGCGGCGGACGGGUGAGUAACACGUGGAUAACCUACCUAUAAGACGGGGAUAACUUCGGGAAACCGGAGCUAAUACCGGAUAAUAUAUUGAACCGCAGGGUUCAAUAGUGAAAGACGGUUUUGCUGUAACUUAUAAAUGGAUCCGCGCCGCAUUAGCUAGUUGGUAAGGUAACGGCUUACCAAGGCAACGAUGCGUAGCCGACCUGAGAGGGUGAUCGGCCACACUGGAACUGAGACACGGUCCAGACUCCUACGGGAGGCAGCAGUAGGGAAUCUUCCGCAAUGGGCGAAAGCCUGACGGAGCAACGCCGCGUGAGUGAUGAAGGUCUUCGGAUCGUAAAACUCUGUUAUUAGGGAAGAACAAAUGUGUAAGUAACUAUGCACGUCUUGACGGUACCUAAUCAGAAAGCCACGGCUAACUACGUG